GGCUCAGUGGGAAUGGAAUGCACUCAGCACUUAGCAAGACGAGGUCCCUAGUGUUUCUGCAACCACACAAGUCUACUUCCUGUUGUGCACCUGAUGUGUGACUGACUCAAACUGACAUGCAACUUCCACUAUAUUAAAAAAGACUGAAGAAACUCUUAGGAGGACAGCUUUUCAGAGAGCAGAUAGAAAACUGGGCAGAACAGAACUUUAAACUCCUCUGAUACAGUAAAUCACUGUUUGCAAAACACCUACAUUUAAGAGGAUAAUUAAAAGAGAAACCUGUAAAGGCAACAUUCCUUCAAGCGAGUUGGUGCUGCAACGUGCUGGUCUGCGGAUUUAAAGAUCUUAAGGUGUUAGCCAAUUGAACAGAUAUUCAGCUGUUCGCAAUUGAAUAACAAGGACUAGGAGAAGGAUGCGAGCUGACUCCUCCUCCAUGUUUCCAGCUGAGUUUACGGGCACCCAGGCUCUUCUUUACAAGAUCCCUAAGACCUCUGGCGAGAUAGAGUCAGUGCCAUUUGACUCACCAGCUCUCUGGAGACUACCAACGAGAGCUAAACAGACCACAGUCUGAGAAUCACUAGUAGAGGCUACACCGAAGGUUUGCUAUUCAAAUGGGUGCCUAAUGUUAGGCCCCUAGGAUGAGAUUCUCAUUCCCACUUCCCAG
Molecule: long non-coding RNA, 664 nt
Organism: Mauremys reevesii (Reeves's turtle)
Lineage: Eukaryota; Metazoa; Chordata; Testudines; Geoemydidae
Exons: 5
Source: RefSeq, a predicted model, not a curated record